ACCUUCUCUGAGUUUUUUGGCUCUGAUCAAGUGUAGUAUCUGUUCUUUUCAGUUUAACCGCUGAAAGGACCCGAACGGGGUCUUUUUCGUGUGUUUUCACGCAAAUCUUUGGCAACUCGAGAAGAGCAGUCCGCUGGGCCUGUUCCAUGACUGCUCUUCCCACUGUGUCCCUGGUAUUUCACUGCUUCCAGGCGACGCGAACGUUUU
RNAcentral lists this small nuclear RNA (207 nucleotides) under Sporothrix schenckii ATCC 58251. RNAcentral's name for it is "U2 spliceosomal RNA". It matches the Rfam family "U2 spliceosomal RNA". Rfam says of the family: U2 is a small nuclear RNA (snRNA) component of the spliceosome (involved in pre-mRNA splicing). Complementary binding between U2 snRNA (in an area lying towards the 5' end but 3' to hairpin I) and the branchpoint sequence (BPS) of the intron results the bulging out of an unpaired adenosine, on the BPS, which initiates a nucleophilic attack at the intronic 5' splice site, thus starting the first of two transesterification reactions that mediate splicing. Lineage: Eukaryota; Fungi; Ascomycota; Sordariomycetes; Ophiostomatales; Ophiostomataceae. The record is from Rfam by way of RNAcentral.